RNAcentral lists this transfer RNA (75 nucleotides) under Streptomyces albidoflavus. Its description in RNAcentral is "tRNA-Val". It matches the Rfam family "tRNA". From Rfam's summary of the family: Transfer RNA (tRNA) molecules are approximately 80 nucleotides in length. Their secondary structure includes four short double-helical elements and three loops (D, anti-codon, and T loops). Further hydrogen bonds mediate the characteristic L-shaped molecular structure. tRNAs have two regions of fundamental functional importance: the anti-codon, which is responsible for specific mRNA codon recognition, and the 3' end, to which the tRNAs corresponding amino acid is attached (by aminoacyl-tRNA synthetases). tRNAs cope with the degeneracy of the genetic code in two manners: having more than one tRNA (with a specific anti-codon) for a particular amino acid; and 'wobble' base-pairing, i.e. permitting non-standard base-pairing at the 3rd anti-codon position. The record is from RNAcentral. RNAcentral also lists the same sequence under 2 other names. Lineage: Bacteria; Bacillati; Actinomycetota; Actinomycetes; Kitasatosporales; Streptomycetaceae.
GCGCGAUUAGCUCAGCGGGAGAGCGCUUCCCUGACACGGAAGAGGUCACUGGUUCAAUCCCAGUAUCGCGCACCC